UACGUGGGGGGCAAGCGUUGUUCGGAAUUACUGGGCGUAAAGGGCUCGUAGGCGGCCAACUAAGUCAGACGUGAAAUCCCUCGGCUUAACCGGGGAACUGCGUCUGAUACUGGAUGGCUUGAGAUUGGGAGAGGGAUGCGGAAUUCCAGGUGUAGCAGUGAAAUGCGUAGAUAUCUGGAGGAACACCGGUGGCGAAGGCGGCAUCCUGGACCAAUUCUGACGCUGAGGAGCGAAAGCCAGGGGAGCAAACGGG
RNAcentral lists this ribosomal RNA (253 nucleotides) under uncultured bacterium. Its description in RNAcentral is "partial 16S ribosomal RNA". It matches the Rfam family "Bacterial small subunit ribosomal RNA", at positions 524 to 776 of the family's 1533-position model. The record is from RNAcentral.